GCCCGGCUGGCUCAGUUGGUAGAACAUGUGACUGUUGAUCUCAGAGUUGUGAGAUUGAGUCUCAUGUUGGGUG
Molecule: transfer RNA, 73 nt
Filed under: Felis catus (domestic cat)
Lineage: Eukaryota; Metazoa; Chordata; Mammalia; Carnivora; Felidae
Also listed under: 1 other name
Rfam family: tRNA
About the family: Transfer RNA (tRNA) molecules are approximately 80 nucleotides in length.
Source: Rfam by way of RNAcentral